RNAcentral lists this ribosomal RNA (468 nucleotides) under uncultured bacterium. RNAcentral's name for it is "partial 16S ribosomal RNA". It matches the Rfam family "Bacterial small subunit ribosomal RNA", at positions 28 to 507 of the family's 1533-position model. The record is from RNAcentral.
GACGAACGCUGGCGGCGUGCUUAACACAUGCAAGUCGAACGGAAAGGCCCUGCUUUUGUGGGGUGCUCGAGUGGCGAACGGGUGAGUAACACGUGAGUAACCUGCCCUUGACUUUGGGAUAACUUCAGGAAACUGGGGCUAAUACCGGAUAGGAGCUCCUGCUGCAUGGUGGGGGUUGGAAAGUUUCGGCGGUCGGGGAUGGACUCGCGGCUUAUCAGCUUGUUGGUGGGGUAGUGGCUUACCAAGGCUUUGACGGGUAGCCGGCCUGAGAGGGUGACCGGCCACAUUGGGACUGAGAUACGGCCCAGACUCCUACGGGAGGCAGCAGUGGGGAAUAUUGCACAAUGGGCGGAAGCCUGAUGCAGCAACGCCGCGUGCGGGAUGACGGCCUUCGGGUUGUAAUCCGCUUUCGCCUGUGACGAAGCGUGAGUGACGGUAAUGGGUAAAGAAGCACCGGCUAACUACGUG